RNAcentral lists this ribosomal RNA (815 nucleotides) under uncultured bacterium. RNAcentral describes it as "bacterial SSU rRNA". It matches the Rfam family "Bacterial small subunit ribosomal RNA", at positions 1 to 731 of the family's 1533-position model. The record is from RNAcentral.
GGGCGGAAAGGCGAAAGGUCGUCAUGUCUCCUGGCCGCCAUGGACAGGCCGCGGGAAUUCGAUUAGAGUUUGAUCCUGGGUCCAUUAAAAGAACGCUGGCGGCAUGCCUAACACAUGCAAGUCCAACGGCAGCACAGUGAUGUACUCGUACAUUAUGGGUGGCGAGUGGCGGACGGGUGAGUAAUACGUAGGGAUCUGCCUUAUAGAGGGGGACAACUCGGGGAAACUCGAGCUAAUACCGCAUGAAGCCUAAGGGUGAAAGUAUGGGACCGCAAGGCCAUACACUAUAAGAUGAACCUACGUCGGAUUAGCUAGUUGGAAGGGUAAAGGCCUCCCAAGGCGAUGAUCCGUAGCUGGUCUGAGAGGAUGGCCAGCCACACUGGGACUGAGACACGGCCCAGACUCCUACGGGAGGCAGCAGUGGGGAAUAUUGGACAAUGGGGGCAACCCUGAUCCAGCAAUGCCGCGUGUGUGAAGAAGGCCUGCGGGUUGUAAAGCACUUUAUUUGGGGAGGAAGGGUUUUAUUCGAAUAGAGUAGAACAUUGACGUUACCCAAAGAAUAAGCACCGGCUAACUCUGUGCCAGCAGCCGCGGUAAUACAGAGGGUGCGAGCGUUAUUCGGAAUUACUGGGCGUAAAGGGUGCGUAGGUAGUUUGUUGAGUUGUAUGUUUAAAUCCCUGUGCUUACCCUGGGAAUGGCUUAUGAUACUUGGCGAUCUAUAGUCGGGUUGAAGGGAAAUUGUAUUUUCCGUUUGUAUCGGUUUAAAUGGCUUAUAAAUCAAAAGGUAAUCCACGUGGCUAAUGGGGUGUAUCCUU